UUGUCCAGCAGAGGGCAUCUUUAUCACUGCUCUUGCUUCUGAUAUUGUUCCAGGCUUCACCUACAGAUUUACAACUUUUAGAGUAUGACUACCUUCAAAUACCAGGUGGUUGUUGCUAUGUUUUAGACUGUGGCUCAGUCCUUUAAUUUCCCCUCAUGCAUCCUGUCUGACGCAGCCGGAGGAGAACUCGCCAGAGCUGCAGGAGGUGUUGGAGUUGAACAUGGAAUAUCAGUUUGAACCUGAGGGAUAGAAGACAAUGAUUGACAGUUUCUCAGAACCAGUUAAACUCAUCUGCCCGCCUCCUGAUCACCCAUAUAUAGACCUAAAGAAUAUUAAUCUGCAAGCUGUCUUCAAGCACUCUGGACCUUUUUGUUACUAACCAGCUUCCUUAUCAUGUUUUACAAUGUACAAUAAACCUUGAAUAAUGAC
Long non-coding RNA from Xyrauchen texanus (razorback sucker), 429 nucleotides. RefSeq lists it as uncharacterized. The transcript has 3 exons. The record is from RefSeq and is a predicted model, not a curated record. Lineage: Eukaryota; Metazoa; Chordata; Actinopteri; Cypriniformes; Catostomidae.